AAGCUUGCCUGCAAGCGUGCGUACGUGCCUGUGUGCGUGCCUGCAAGGUUUUCUGCGAGCUUACGUGGAUACUACGGACCUGAGAAAGGUUAAAGUCUCCAACCUACUGCUGAGCCCUCGGAGAUUCCUGUGCCACCCAUUGUACUGCCUCCUGGGGGAACUGGCUGUGGCGUCUUCUCCAGAGAGUGUAUGAGAAGGAAGAAAGGACAUGGAGCAAGAGAUGUCACAAGCACAAGCGUGGGAGCAGCCAUGGCAGAGACAGCCAAGCCACUGUAGGGAGAAGGGACAUGGGAUGUGACUUGCUCUGAGUGACCACGCCUGGCAGGGAAGACAAGAUACUUGAGCUUCCGGGAUGAGGAUGAGGCGUGAAGAGCUGCCUCCCUGGUUUUGUAAAAUCGCCAGGUCCCAGAAACAAAGAUGAAGCCGUGGAAAUACCUGAAAACCAGGAAAAUCCAAGGAAGGCAGGCUGGAAUUACUGUUUAACUAAGGUGGGGCUGCGGUACCUGCUGUACCCAUAUAAGGAAGCACCUGAGAAGGGAGAGGUAAGCAGAACCUGCCUGACUCCUGACUCCGCCAGUUCUCUUGCAUUUCCUCCAAGGCGACAGCCCUCUCCUCCAUCGUCCCCUCUGCCACUCUCCAACCCUCAAGCCCGCCGCCGCUGCUCAUCCUGUGUGACUGAUUCGUCCCAGUGGGCUUCCUGCAGGAAUACUGCCCACAGUGCUACUCUAUUGGAUGCACCUGCAGAGGACACAG
Peromyscus californicus insignis is the source of this 753-nucleotide long non-coding RNA. RefSeq lists it as uncharacterized. The transcript has 4 exons. NCBI's taxonomy places the organism in Eukaryota, Metazoa, Chordata, Mammalia, Rodentia, Cricetidae. The record is from RefSeq and is a predicted model, not a curated record.